RNAcentral lists this transfer RNA (73 nucleotides) under Anaerolineae bacterium. RNAcentral's name for it is "tRNA-Ala". It matches the Rfam family "tRNA". Rfam says of the family: Transfer RNA (tRNA) molecules are approximately 80 nucleotides in length. Their secondary structure includes four short double-helical elements and three loops (D, anti-codon, and T loops). Further hydrogen bonds mediate the characteristic L-shaped molecular structure. tRNAs have two regions of fundamental functional importance: the anti-codon, which is responsible for specific mRNA codon recognition, and the 3' end, to which the tRNAs corresponding amino acid is attached (by aminoacyl-tRNA synthetases). tRNAs cope with the degeneracy of the genetic code in two manners: having more than one tRNA (with a specific anti-codon) for a particular amino acid; and 'wobble' base-pairing, i.e. permitting non-standard base-pairing at the 3rd anti-codon position. The record is from RNAcentral. Lineage: Bacteria; Bacillati; Chloroflexota; Anaerolineae.
GGGGACAUAGCUCAGCUGGGAGAGCGCCUGCUUUGCAAGCAGGAAGUCAGGGGUUCGAGUCCCCUUGUCUCCA